Arthrobacter sp. Edens01 is the source of this 120-nucleotide non-coding RNA. Lineage: Bacteria; Bacillati; Actinomycetota; Actinomycetes; Micrococcales; Micrococcaceae. The record is from Rfam.
AAUCAAGAGUUCCAGCCACAGGCCCUGGCCGGCUGGGCGGCAACCCUCUCGCCGUAGCGGGGUGCUCCAGGUGACGAUUCGGCCGUUCCGGUGGAUCUCCCGGUCCGGCAAGUACAGCGC